GGGGUAAGUUCCCUAUAUAUGAAAGAGAUCGAACAUAUUUUUAAAAUAUUGAAUAAUUUCUUAUUAAUAAAACAUUUAUUUUGCUAAAUACUAAAAUAACUUUUAAUAUAUUAUAAUAAUGAUAAAUAAAUUUUAAUUUAAUAUAAAGAAGUAAAAUUCUAGAUGAUGUAAAUUUUUUAAAAAGAAAAAGAAAAAAAAGUAUCUUUCUUUUGUUAUCACCAAUAGUUUCUUGCAAAAGAAAAUAGACUUCCAGAAAAUGUGUUUGAUGAUUUUCAAAUCUCGCAUCAUAAAAUUAAAACCUCGCAGAGUUUGGAGAAGUAGACAGUGACAGGUUUCUGAAACUAGCCCCUCCUUUAUAUAACAAAGCGACUCAGAACACAAUUGGUGAUGGUGGUAGUUCCCUGAAAAUAAAAACUCUACGGCAAGGAAAGUUUGAGAGUGAAUUGGUGAUGGUGUCUCGUCUGCAUAUGAGAGUGAAUUUGAGAGAAGAUGGAGAACUAGUUGUGAAAGUUUUAUAAUAAACGGCAAAAAUUCGCGAUGUCAGGAAAUGGUUAGUUAUUGAAGCCUCA
Molecule: unclassified non-coding RNA, 569 nt
Filed under: Hevea brasiliensis (rubber tree)
Lineage: Eukaryota; Viridiplantae; Streptophyta; Magnoliopsida; Malpighiales; Euphorbiaceae
Source: RNAcentral